RNAcentral lists this ribosomal RNA (373 nucleotides) under uncultured organism. RNAcentral describes it as "partial 16S ribosomal RNA". It matches the Rfam family "Bacterial small subunit ribosomal RNA", at positions 527 to 896 of the family's 1533-position model. The record is from RNAcentral.
GUAGGUGGCAAGCGUUGUCCGGAAUUAUUGGGCGUAAAGCGCGCGCAGGUGGUUCUUUAAGUCUGAUGUGAAAGCCCCCGGGCUCAACCGGGGAGGGUCAUUGGAAACUGGGGAACUUGAGUGCAGGAGAGGAAAGUGGAAUUCCACGUGUAGCGGUGAAAUGCGUAGAUAUGUGGAGGAACACCAGUGGCGAAGGCGACUUUCUGGCCUGUAACUGACACUGAGGCGCGAAAGCGUGGGGAGCAAACAGGAUUAGAUACCCUGGUAGUCCACGCCGUAAACGAUGUGUGCUAAGUGUUGGGGGGUUUCCGCCCCUCAGUGCUGCAGCUAACGCAUUAAGCACUCCGCCUGGGGAGUACGGUCGCAAAGACUG